Molecule: long non-coding RNA, 1745 nt
Organism: Equus caballus (horse)
Lineage: Eukaryota; Metazoa; Chordata; Mammalia; Perissodactyla; Equidae
Source: Ensembl
CGGGGCGUCUCGGAGACCCUAGUCUUCACCCGGCCCACGAGCCUGGCAAGUCCACCGACCGAUCCCUAAGCCGGGUCUUUCUCUUGGAAACCUCGUCAGCAUCCUGCCUGACGUCUUAUGAGAUUUAUUAAAGCCCUAAGAACAACGAGGCUGAUAUCUGAGAUACUCAUUGAAGGCCCGGGAGAAUUAGGUACAGAUGAUGGCACUGUUGAAAAAUCACAAACGAAGCCAAUUUGAGCAAGAACUGUGUUGGUCCUUGGAGCGGGCUGGAGGCCCUUGGGUGAGAAAAACAGCCACAUCCAGGAUUGGGAGGAUUUACUACUUCCAAAGACAGAUAAAUUAAUAGAAAUUGCAAAAGAUAUAAAAGUAUGGGGUGGACAGGUUUAUUACUGUACACGGUGAUUUUCUUUUUUAACGUGCUGUAACUUGUAGCCAUUUUUAUUAAUGGGCCAAUCUAAACAGGGUUGAAAGAUUAACUGUGACUCCACCCCAAGUCACAAUAGGAUCCUGUACUUCUCUUUUUAUAGCUGUGAAGACUGGGAAUCAUUCUUGGCUCAGUGUAAUGUUUAUAAGGCAUGGCUCAUCUCAUUGAAUGAAAUUUUUUAAAAAAGAGUUUGAAGUUUGAGUUUAUGAUAGCAAUAAAAGUACUCUAUAUUCCUGGAUUAAAGUUGCUUUAAUUAAUGAGAAAAGUAAGCCAGCCAAAAGAAACUGGUGACAAUUUAAGAAGAGUAUUGAAAAACCACUGCAAUACUUGCCAGGGCCAUGCCACUCUACAGUUCAAACAUUUGCACACCCAAUUCGUUUAACCUUCACAACACUCAUGUGAGGGCAGCAUAGAGGCUGUCCUUAUUUUAUGGAUGAGAAAACCAAAGCUCAAAGAAACUAAGUGAUGGUCCAGGUUCUCAUAAGAACCGAGUGGUUGAGAAGACCUCUGGAACCAGCAGCCAUCCUAACUGCAUGGACUGAACUUUGAAAGACUAUUGCUCAGCACUCUUCACCUUAUCCAUUCAGAUAAGAUCACGAAGAUGGACGAAUAUGCUGAGCUGACUCAUUCCCCUCAGUAUAGAGCAGUCAUCUUCGUGGUGACAUUCAUCCUGACGAUGCUAAACAGAACGUGAGCCCCAUGAGACCAGAGACCAAGCCUGUUUUAGUCACUCCUGUAUUCCUAGAGCUAUCACAGGACCUAGUGGACAGUAGAUACUCAGUUGACAUAUGGUGUCAGAAGUGAGAUUGGAAGUGAUCUCACCUUCAUGGACUGGCAUUCCCUGGAAAUGUGUUUAAUACCAACAUGAGCCCCUUUGUGUGUUCAGCUGCUUCCAAGGACAGCUGACUCCUCCAAUUGUGGGACCCCUCAGAUUAGAAGGUAUAAAUCUCAAAAGCAAACUUUCAGCUACACCUUUUCCACUAAUGAUUUAAAGACCAAGCUUUGAAAAGCUGAAGAAGAAAACAAGUGGAUGCCAGUGUUCGGUGAGGGAGGCCACAGCCGCGCGAAAUUUGUUCUAAAAGUAGGUAGCCACAGAUCCGUCUGCACAUAUCCAAGAGGGUUUCCCCCAGGAGGUGGGAAGGCUGGGGAAGGAAUGGACUGUUUAUAUCCAAGGACCUUUUCGUUUGCUUGGAAGAGCUGUUAAAGACUCUGGUAAAUAAAGGAGACUGAACAUAUGGUGAGCCCUCAAUUCAUAGCAGCCAUUAUCACUGUUGUUAUUAACAUUAUUUUAUCCUCAUCCUCGGGUUCUAGUUUUUCCCCC